Molecule: long non-coding RNA, 1606 nt
Organism: Balaenoptera ricei (Rice's whale)
Lineage: Eukaryota; Metazoa; Chordata; Mammalia; Artiodactyla; Balaenopteridae
Exons: 5
Source: RefSeq, a predicted model, not a curated record
GGCAGGACUUUGGUGAGACCAAAGUGAAGCUCAGAGGUUGAUGAGACGAAGAUGUCUUUAGAAAUGGGUCUUAAGAUCCAUGGAGGACUAUAAUUGAUUAAUUAAUCUGAGUUAUAGUAGGAGUUUUGUCAUCAGCAGUUCUCUGAAGACUACAGGACCUCUGGAUUCCUUCCAAGUUAAACAAUCGUGAAUACAGUUGCUAUGAAGAUAUGUGUGAAGGUUUUGUGUGGACAUAAAUUUUCAACUCAUUUGGGUAAUUACCAAGAAACAUGUUCUCUGGAUAAUAUGAUUUUUUCAUUUAUGUUCAUGAAAUAUAUGGGCCUGAAGAUAAUGGUGGUGAUGGCUGUCACCUGGAACUGCAUCUGGUGCUCUUGACUGGAACAUCUCCACGUGGCUUCUUCAUGUGGCUACUUGGUUUUCUCAGAGGCUGGUGACUGUAUGUUAGUGUAAACCCCCCAAGACAAUUAAAUAGAAGCUCUAUUCUAUAUAGCCUCAGAGGUACUUAGUGUCUCCUCCUCCUUAGUCAAAAGUCAUUCAGAUUCAAAAGGAGAAAACACAGAUUCUGCCUUUUGAUGGGAGGAGUGCAGAAGAAUUUGGGGCAUUUUAAAAAAUAACACCACAAUGGGAAAAUAAUAAGGUAAAAUCUACCAGCAAACCCUAACAUAGUCCCUCAGUCCCUUUCCAUAAAAUAAAGAGAUUCUUUGUUUGCUGGAAAAGUAAACUUCAGAAAAUUUGAUUUUUGAAAUGAUUUUCAAAAAAAAAAAAAUGUACUUCUGGGGAAUUCCCUAGCAGUCCAGUGGUUCGGACUUGGUGCUCUCACUGCUGGGGCCCUGGGUUCUAUACCUGGUAGAGAAUUAAAAUCCCACAAGCCACCCAGAGAGGCAAAAAAAAAAAAAAGUACCUCUGUUAAUAGUGGUUACUCUCAGUGAAGAUGUAGUUACUGAGUUACUGGAAAGGUACAUGCAAGGAGUUUCUGAGAUGCUAGUAAUGUUUUGUUUCUUGAUCUAGAUGCUGAUUAAAGAGGUACAUUCACUUUAUGAGAGGACAUUCAGUUUAUGUAUAUAUCUGUGCCCAUUUAUAUACAGAUACAAUAUUUCAGCAUAGUAUUGCAUUUGAAGAGUAUGUAAACAGGGUUCCAUAUGUAAAGAGCUUGGAAGUUGCCACUCCAUCAUAAUAACAAGUAAAAGCUAAACAGACUGAAAAAUCAACAACUGUUCUUGGAUCUGUUAGAAAGGGGAGGGUGAAGGGAAAACCAAUGCCUGUAAGAUUGGAGAGACAGGCCAAGACAGGGAAUCCCAGCUUACUAGAGCAGAGAAGCACAAGCAGAAACUGUCAUGGGAACCAGUGCCGGGGUAGGAAAACCUGUAUUGCAAUUAACCAAUUGCUAGAAGCAAAGUGCAGACACUUCUGAGUUAAAAUCUCCAAGGGGGAGUUGUGGGACUUCCACAAUAUUGUGAGAUUUACCUCAAGGAUCUUGACCAGAUUCCCACAGUAAAUAUAGGAGAAAAGUGUCCUCAUACUUCCAAUGAAGGACGGAAAAAGAAGCUAUUUAGAAAUAUAUUAGAGCAUUCUGUUGUUUUUUUUUUAUUUUAUUGAAGUACAGUUG